Pelobates cultripes (western spadefoot toad) is the source of this 189-nucleotide non-coding RNA. The record is from the annotation of a GenBank genome assembly. NCBI's taxonomy places the organism in Eukaryota, Metazoa, Chordata, Amphibia, Anura, Pelobatidae.
GUCAUGCUAGAGUACGUUUUCAAUGGGCUCCCCAACGACAAGGCGACGACGCAUUCGUAUGUCAUUCAUAUCAACUUUCGAUGCCAUUUACUGUGCCUACCAUGGUGACCAAGAGUAACGGGGAAUCAGGGUUCAGUUCCUGAGAGGGAGCCUGAGAAAUGGCUACCACAUGCCAGGAAGGCAGCAGGC